This 601-nucleotide ribosomal RNA is filed under the name uncultured bacterium. RNAcentral's name for it is "bacterial SSU rRNA". It matches the Rfam family "Bacterial small subunit ribosomal RNA", at positions 896 to 1510 of the family's 1533-position model. The record is from RNAcentral.
AAAACUCAAAGGAAUAGACGGGGACCCACACAAGCAGUGGAUCACGUGGUUUAAUUCGACAAUAAACGGGGAAUCUCACCUAGGCUUGACAUCCCGAGAACCCCCUGGAAACAGGGGGGUGCCCGUAAGGGAGCUCGGUGACAGGUGCUGCAUGGUUGUCGUCAGCUCGUGCCUUGAGGUGUUCGGUUAAGUCCGUUAACGAGCGCAACCCAUGUCCUUAGUUACUAUGUCUAAGGAGACUGCCUUGGUUAACAAGGAGGAAGGUGUGGAUGACGUCAAAUCAGCAUGGCUUUUACGCCUAGGGCUACACACAUGAUACAAUGGUCUGUACAAAGAGAACCGAGACCGCGAGGUGGAGGAAAUCUGCAAAACUGGGCCCAGUUCGGAUUGGAGGCUGCAACUCGCCUCCAUGAAGUUGGAAUCGCUAGUAAUGGCGCAUCAUCUACGGCGCCGUGAAUACGUUCCCGGGUCUUGUACACACCGCCCGUCACAUCAUGGAAGCCGGUCGCACCCGAAGUGCCUGUACCAACCGCAAGGGGGUAGGGUCCUAAGGUGUAGCUGGUAACUGGGAUGAAGUCGUAACAAGGUAACCAAGGGCGAA